RNAcentral lists this long non-coding RNA (830 nucleotides) under Homo sapiens (human). Its description in RNAcentral is "HSALNT0057668". The record is from RNAcentral. Lineage: Eukaryota; Metazoa; Chordata; Mammalia; Primates; Hominidae.
GCCGUUAGGAUUAAGACACGAAGGUUCUGCCCUCACAGAUGAUAUUCGUUUCUUAUAAAAGGGGUGGAUGGAACCAGCCAGACUCUUUUGGCCCUUCCAUCCCUUCCACUACAUGAAGACACAGCAUUUAUCCCCUCUGGACACAGCAGCAAAGUGUCAUCUUGGAAGCAGAGAGCAGCCCUCACCAGACAGUGAACUGAUACUGAACUUCUGAGCCUGCAGAACUGAAAAGCUCCCUUUGGGAUCCCUGGCCUACUGCAGGACUCAGGUUUGAUUUCCCAGCCUUGUUGCUGGUCCAAGUCUUCAUGUCCUGUUUUGAGAGCUACUCCUGUCAAAGAAAACACUUUUUAAAAAUAAUUUGCUGUAAUCCCAGCACUUUGGGAGGCCAAGGUGGGUGGAUCACAAGGUCAGGAGUUCGAGACCAGCCUGGCCAAUAUGGUAAAACCCCCUCUCUACUAAAAAUGCAAAAAUUAGCCGGGUGUGGUGGUUCACACCUGUAGUCCCAGCUACUUGGGAGGCUGAGGCAGAAGAAUUGCUUGAACCUGGGAGGCGAAGGUUUCAGCGAGCCGAGAUCAUGCCACUGCUCUCCAGCCAGGGCGACAGAGCAGGACUCUGUCUCAAAAAAUAAAUAAAUAAAUAAAUAAAUUGCACAAAGGCAUUGUUUGGUGGUUUUGCAGUCUUUGCAGUAUCCUUGCAGAUCACAUUUCUGAUAUUGGCAUUUGCUCUCAGGACAACCUCUGUUUUAUUUUACGAUCCUUAGUUCUCUAGCUGUUUGCACACAUGAUUUUUUUCAGGUAUCUGGGAAGAUCCCUAUUUUGAUUUGCCUGAUA